GCCUACGGGGGGCAGCAGUAGGGAAUAUUGCUCAAUGGGGGAAACCCUGAAGCAGCAACGCCGCGUGGAGGAUGAAGGUUUUCGGAUUGUAAACUCCUUUUGUUAGAGAAGAUAAUGACGGUAUCUAACGAAUAAGCGCCGGCUAACUCCGUGCCAGCAGCCGCGGUAAUACGGAGGGUGCAAGCGUUACUCGGAAUCCCUGGGCGUAAAGAGCGCGUAGGCGGGAUAGCAAGUCAGAUGUGAAAUCCUAUGGUUUAACCAUAGAACUGCAUUUGAAACUGUUAUUCUAGAGUAUGGGAGAGGUA
Molecule: ribosomal RNA, 305 nt
Filed under: uncultured bacterium
Lineage: Bacteria
Description: bacterial SSU rRNA
Rfam family: Bacterial small subunit ribosomal RNA
Source: RNAcentral